This 252-nucleotide ribosomal RNA is filed under the name uncultured bacterium. RNAcentral's name for it is "partial 16S ribosomal RNA". It matches the Rfam family "Bacterial small subunit ribosomal RNA", at positions 524 to 776 of the family's 1533-position model. The record is from RNAcentral.
UACGUAGGCAGCGAGCGUUGUUCGGAAUUACUGGGCGUAAAGAGUGUGUAGGCGGUGCUCUAAGUUCGGUGUGAAAUCUCUCGCUUAACUGGGAGGGUGCGCCGGGAACUGGAGUGCUCGAACGUGGGAGAGGAAAGCGGAAUUCCUGGUGUAGCGGUGAAAUGCGUAGAUAUCAGGAGGAACACCCGUAGCGAAGGCGGCACUCUGGGCCGGAACUGACGCUGAGGAGCGAAAGCGUGGGGAGCGAACAGG